Molecule: RNase P RNA, 405 nt
Filed under: Verrucomicrobiota bacterium
Lineage: Bacteria; Pseudomonadati; Verrucomicrobiota
Description: RNase P RNA component class A
Rfam family: Bacterial RNase P class A
About the family: Ribonuclease P (RNase P) is a ubiquitous endoribonuclease, found in archaea, bacteria and eukarya as well as chloroplasts and mitochondria. Its best characterised activity is the generation of mature 5'-ends of tRNAs by cleaving the 5'-leader elements of precursor-tRNAs.
Source: RNAcentral
CGAUGGCAGAUGAUCGCUGGUGAGCAGGAAUGUUUCGCCAGAGGAAAGUCCGAACACCAUACGGCAGCAUGCCGCGUAAAACACGCGGGCGGCCCCGGCGUAAGUCGGGAUCGACGGAAAGUGUCACAGAGAAGACACCGCCGGUUCUUUGGCAACGAAGCGCAGGUAAGGGUGAAAAGGCGAGGUAAGAGCUCACCGCUCGCAAAGUAAUUUGCGAGGCACGAAAAACCCCAUGCGGUGCAAGACAAAACAGAGGGAGGACCGCCGGUCCGUUGAUCCUCGGGUAUCGUCGCAUCACGAUCCCGCACCCGCGGGAUCGGGCCGCUCGCGCAAGCGAGCGGAGAUAAAUGAUCAUCGCGUCCCGCGCCUGCGGGACGACAGAAUUCGGCUUAUCGCCAUCGAAAU